AUUUUUUUUAAUUUCUGGCUAUGGCAAUUGGGAUGAACGCUACGCACGUCUUUGACUGAUUAUCGAAGUAUAGCCGAUUGAUAAACAUGCCGCCAAUCAAACUGCAACAUAUAAAAUUCUCGGAAUGCUUCACCCACCUGCUGGGGGUAAGAUUAAUGAGGAAUCAAUAGCCAAUGGCGUCAGGCGUGCCAACGGCCUACACCGCUCCGUGCGCGCGCGCCGCGCGGCCGGCCCACGCGCAGGGCGUGUCAGCUGAUUUGGAAGAUGUACAUUAUCCCAGCAACAGUGUACUCGGCCAUAACUCAUGCGAUCUGGCAGCGCCGAGCAGUAAGGGGUGAGAACGUCUCAAGAGCUUGCUCUUGGCCUAAUACCCGUUCAUAUUUAGAAGAAUGGCGAUCAAUCAUAAGUGCUAUCUGGCUUCUGCUGCUUCAUUAGGAUGCUGGCGUCACCGUCCCUCGACAGAGCAUCGAGCAUACAUGAGCAUGUAACAGAGAGCGGGCGGAGGCGCGCGGCCGCCGCGCCGCCUCUAGAAGAACAGCACAAAUAUCCCGCAGUUCAAAAAUAGUCCGCCGACUCGCCCGCUGCAUACAAAAGUGGCGAGCCGUCCGGCACACAUCUUGGCUUAUCAAAUUUCUCUACCCACACACGCCCGCGCCACACUUGGUUACCUACACGCCGCCGAGCCUUCAUGCGUUAGUAUGUUAGCACUCGCAAGCUAGCGUUUGUUACACUUCCUUGACACUUAAAGCACUGCGACAUCCGAAGCAACACUC
Molecule: long non-coding RNA, 773 nt
Organism: Cydia amplana
Lineage: Eukaryota; Metazoa; Arthropoda; Insecta; Lepidoptera; Tortricidae
Exons: 3
Source: RefSeq, a predicted model, not a curated record